Non-coding RNA from Dryococelus australis, 72 nucleotides. Lineage: Eukaryota; Metazoa; Arthropoda; Insecta; Phasmatodea; Phasmatidae. The record is from the annotation of a GenBank genome assembly.
GCCUACUUAGCUCAAUGGCAGAACACUAUACUCGUAAACCAGAGGUCGCGAGUUCAAACCUCACAGGAAGCA